CCUACGGGUGGCAGCAGUGAGGAAUAUUGGUCAAUGGGCGGGAGCCUGAACCAGCCAAGUCGCGUGAGGGAAGACGGUCCUACGGAUUGUAAACCUCUUUUGCCGGGGAGCAACGGGGUCCUUGCUAGGGCCCGAUGAGAGUACCCGGAGAAAAAGCAUCGGCUAACUCCGUGCCAGCAGCCGCGGUAAUACGGAGGAUGCGAGCGUUAUCCGGAUUUAUUGGGUUUAAAGGGUGCGUAGGCGGGCUGUUAAGUCAGCGGUCAAAUGUCGGGGCUCAACCCCGGCCUGCAUUUGAAACUGUGUUUCUUGAGUACUGGAGAGGCAGACGGAAUUCCUAGUGUAGCGGUGAAAUGCGUAGAUAUUAGGAGGAACACCAGUGGCGAAGGCGGUCUGCUGGACAGCAACUGACGCUGAGGCGCGAAAGCGUGGGGAGCAAACAGGAUUAGAUACCCUUGUAGUC
RNAcentral lists this ribosomal RNA (460 nucleotides) under uncultured bacterium. Its description in RNAcentral is "partial 16S ribosomal RNA". It matches the Rfam family "Bacterial small subunit ribosomal RNA", at positions 338 to 795 of the family's 1533-position model. The record is from RNAcentral.